UUUGAUGGCGACCGGCGCACGGGUGAGUAACACGUAUCCAACCUGCCGAUGACUCGGGGAUAGCCUUUCGAAAGAAAGAUUAAUACCCGAUGGCAUAGUUCUUCCGCAUGGUAGAACUAUUAAAGAGUUUCGGUCAUCGAUGGGGAUGCGUUCCAUUAGGUUGUUGGCGGGGUAACGGCCCACCAAGCCUUCGAUGGAUAGGGGUUCUGAGAGGAAGGUCCCCCACAUUGGAACUGAGACACGGUCCAA
Molecule: ribosomal RNA, 249 nt
Filed under: uncultured bacterium
Lineage: Bacteria
Description: partial 16S ribosomal RNA
Rfam family: Bacterial small subunit ribosomal RNA
Source: RNAcentral